This 451-nucleotide ribosomal RNA is filed under the name uncultured Myxococcales bacterium. Its description in RNAcentral is "bacterial SSU rRNA". It matches the Rfam family "Bacterial small subunit ribosomal RNA", at positions 29 to 505 of the family's 1533-position model. Lineage: Bacteria; Pseudomonadati; Myxococcota; Myxococcia; Myxococcales. The record is from RNAcentral.
AGCGAACGCUAGCGGCAAGCUUAACACAUGCAAGUCGAACGAACUCUUCGGAGUGAGUGGCGAACGGGUGAGUAACACGUAGAUUACAUGCCUUCCGGCGGGGGACAACUCAGGGAAACUUGAGCUAAUACCGCAUAUGCCCUUCGGGGUGAAAGGCUUCGGCCACCGGAAGAUCGGUCUGCGGCCCAUUAUCUAAUCCUAGUUGGUAGGGUAACGGCCUACCAAGGGUACGAUGGGUAGCUGGUCUGAGAGGAUGAUCAGCCACACUGGGACUGAGACACGGCCCAGACUCCUACGGGAGGCAGCAGUGGGGAAUAUUGGACAAUGGGCGAAAGCCUGAUCCAGCUAUGCCGCGUGUGUGAUGAAGGCCCUAGGGUCGUAAAGCACUGUCGGGAGGGACGAAGGACUUCGGUCUUGACGGUACCUCGCAAGAAAGCACCGGCUAACUCCG